RNAcentral lists this ribosomal RNA (466 nucleotides) under Vreelandella stevensii. RNAcentral's name for it is "partial 16S ribosomal RNA". It matches the Rfam family "Bacterial small subunit ribosomal RNA", at positions 338 to 795 of the family's 1533-position model. The record is from RNAcentral. Lineage: Bacteria; Pseudomonadati; Pseudomonadota; Gammaproteobacteria; Oceanospirillales; Halomonadaceae.
CCUACGGGGGGGCUGCAGUGGGGAAUAUUGGACAAUGGGGGGAACCCUGAUCCAGCCAUGCCGCGUGUGUGAAGAAGGCCCUCGGGUUGUAAAGCACUUUCAGUGAGGAAGAACGCCUGGUGGUUAAUACCCAUCAGGAAAGACAUCACUCACAGAAGAAGCACCGGCUAACUCCGUGCCAGCAGCCGCGGUAAUACGGAGGGUGCGAGCGUUAAUCGGAAUUACUGGGCGUAAAGCGCGCGUAGGUGGCUUGAUAAGCCGGUUGUGAAAGCCCCGGGCUCAACCUGGGAACGGCAUCCGGAACUGUCAAGCUAGAGUGCAGGAGAGGAAGGUAGAAUUCCCGGUGUAGCGGUGAAAUGCGUAGAGAUCGGGAGGAAUACCAGUGGCGAAGGCGGCCUUCUGGACUGACACUGACACUGAGGUGCGAAAACGUGGGUAGCAAACAGGAUUAGAUACCCCAGUAGUC